RNAcentral lists this long non-coding RNA (940 nucleotides) under Equus caballus (horse). RNAcentral's name for it is "lncRNA (ENSECAG00000036243.3)". Lineage: Eukaryota; Metazoa; Chordata; Mammalia; Perissodactyla; Equidae. The record is from RNAcentral.
UAGGUGCAAGCCACUUCAAUAGAGGGACCAGAGGGUGCAACCACAGAGCCAGGAAAGAUCAUAACGGCAAAGGCUGUCGGUGGGCUGAUUGUGAGGUCAGAACUAAAAAACAUUUUCAAAUUUAAGUACACAAGGAAGCUGGCUCAGGAAUCAAGUGCCCCAGAAUCAGAGGACUUCACAACAUGAUCUCUUGCGCACUAGACCGUAAGCAUGGAGCAGGAGCCACAUCCUGCUCAUAAAUAUGACACGGGAUGCCCCCAACUGUAAGUGGCGCCAUUUCCAUGGGGCUCGUGGUAAAGAUGCCCACCUCCUUUCGUCCUGUACUCAUAGACCCUGAGUCCCUUGUAGAAGAGAAAGAGAUUGCUCGCUUUCCUAAUGCCCUGUCGACCUUGAGUACAGAGAGAAAGUGUAUCUCAGCUGGAGCAGGGGCUGGCCCAAAGUGUGGCGACACUGAAUCACCAGUCCAGUGAAGAAUACCGAAUCAACCUCAUUUCCCAAUGAGAAACCAUCUCACAGAAAAGUGAAGCCCAUUAGCUGAGGUCCAUGGUUAAAGAGUGAAUGAGUUACUACUGUCAACAGUCUGGUCUUUGCUGAUGUCUGCACUUCCCUUCUCACAUACUGUGCAACCCAGAAGGAAUACACUCUGAAGACUGUCUGGCCAAACCUUGCCACGGAGGAGCUUACGUUUUUGUCACGUGGCUGAGUAGAGGGUCAACUGUCUCAGCCUGACACUUUUGCAUUAAAUCUACUACAUGAAAGGAUAGGACCUGGGUUGAAACAUAAAGGCAACCCUGUUCAUCUCCACCAGGCUUGUUUAAGCAUCAGAGUGACAGGGUGUCAGGGCUGUGCCAUUUGUGCCCACACCUCCUCCAAUGGUGGUAAAAGUGGUUUGAAGGCCUCCAUGGCAUCCUAGAAAUGCAUGCCCACUGUAUCGGGAAAG